Molecule: ribosomal RNA, 667 nt
Filed under: uncultured cyanobacterium
Lineage: Bacteria; Bacillati; Cyanobacteriota
Description: bacterial SSU rRNA
Rfam family: Bacterial small subunit ribosomal RNA
Source: RNAcentral
CGGACGGGUGAGUAACACGUGAGAAUUUGCCUUUAGGAGGGGGAUAACAAUCGGAAACGAAUGCUAAUACCCCAUAUGCUUUUGAGUGAAAUGGAUUUAUCCGCCUAAAGAGAAGCUCGCGGCUGAUUAGCUUGUUGGUGAGGUAUGAGCUUACCAAGGCGACGAUCAGUAGCUGGUUUGAGAGGACGAUCAGACACACUGGAACUGAGACACGGUCCAGACUCCUACGGGAGGCAGCAGUGGGGAAUUUUCCGCAAUGGGCGAAAGCCUGACGGAGCAAUACCGCGUGAGGGAAGACUGCCUAUGGGUUGUAAACCUCUUUUUUCAGGGAGGAACAAAAUGACGUGUACCUGAAGAAUAAGCAUCGGCUAACUCCGUGCCAGCAGCCGCGGUAAGACGGAGGAUGCAAGUGUUAUCCGGAAUCACUGGGCGUAAAGCGUCUGUAGGUGGUUUAAUAAGUCAACUGUUAAAUCUUGAGGCUUAACUUCAAAAUCGCAGUCGAAACUAUUAGACUAGAGUAUAGUAGAGGUAAAGGGAAUUUCCAGUGGAGCGGUGAAAUGCGUAGAUAUUGGAAAGAACACCGAUGGCGAAAGCACUUUACUGGGCUAUUACUAACACUCAGAGACGAAAGCUAGGGUAGCAAAUGGGAUUAGAUACCCCAGUAGUC